This 218-nucleotide ribosomal RNA is filed under the name Aplanochytrium sp. RAQ-2009a. RNAcentral's name for it is "partial small subunit ribosomal RNA". It matches the Rfam family "Eukaryotic small subunit ribosomal RNA", at positions 1238 to 1473 of the family's 1831-position model. Lineage: Eukaryota; Bigyra; Thraustochytrida; Thraustochytriidae. The record is from RNAcentral.
GAUUGCCAGAUUGAGAGCUCUUUCUUGAUUCUAUGGGGGUGGUGCAUGGCCGUUCUUAGUUGGUGGAGUGAUUUGUCUGGUUAAUUCCGUUAACGAACGAGACCUCAGCCUGCUAAAUAGUGUGCAUAUUCGUCAGAAUGUGUUGCUGACUUCUCUAGAGGGACAUUUCGGUUUUACCGGAAGGAAGUUUGAGGCAAUAACAGGUCUGUGAUGCCCAA